Gadus macrocephalus (Pacific cod) is the source of this 1500-nucleotide long non-coding RNA. RefSeq lists it as uncharacterized. The transcript has 2 exons. The record is from RefSeq and is a predicted model, not a curated record. NCBI's taxonomy places the organism in Eukaryota, Metazoa, Chordata, Actinopteri, Gadiformes, Gadidae.
AGGGAAGUCUCCAUGAGGUCUCUGCUCACUGUCAUCAUUUGCUAGUGUAGAAAGCAACCGAAAAAUGAAAUUAAGUGUGAAAUGUCACAUUUCUCAUUUGAAUGAGGUGCAAAAUAGAGCCAUGACUCACUCUUGAGACUCCUCUUGUUCUUUCCAUGAUGACCCAGUUGACAUCACGGUUGAUUGCGAGUGAGCUAUAGGAAAAACAUGCAACAAACUUUAUUGUCUAAAGUAGAUGAAGACGACAAAUAUUCAAUCCCAUACCUAAGACAACCAUUCCAUGGCUGUCACACUGCAUUUCAACUUCUGACUCAUACUCUUGAGAGUCUUCUUGUUCGUUCCCAUAUGACCCAAUUGACAUCGCAGCUGAUGGGGAGUGAGCUAUAGGAAAAAUAGCAACAAACUUUAUUGUCUGAAGUAGAUGAAGACGACAAAUGUGCAUAAUUAUUCAAUCCCAUACCUAAGACAACCCUUCCAUAGCUGUCAAACUGCAAUGAAACAUCUGGAGGAACAAUCUUGCUGUACUGAUUUUUGAUUUUUUGGUUCCUUGCCAUGUUGUAAUGGUGGAGAAUGUUUCUUUGUAGAAAAAUGUGUGUUGAUGGGGUUGUCUGAUUUAAAAAGUAGUUUUCAGGCACAAGCUCCAGCUUUCUUAGAACCUCACACUGGUCUUUGCUGUUCCCCUGGUGGAACACAUCGUUCAAAGCAAAAUGCUGUGAGGAUCCAGUGAGAGGGUGACCAUCUUUGUCAGCUGGCUUUUUUUUUAAAUUUCAGCCAAGGCAAGUUGACAUGGACCUUUCCCUCUGAGGCCUGCUUCACGUUCUCUGGGGUGGGAUCCAGUAACCUUCCCUGAAAAGGGGUAAAUAUUCCUGGCUGCCUGCGGUUGGCAUGCAGUGCCAGACCCCUGGCAUAAUCAUACACAGCCACAUUGGGGAGGUGUUUCCAGGACAGCAAGAGAUCCACAAAGUCACGUGGACUCUCUGCUCUAAGGUUGAAUUUUACUGAAAACACAACCCCACAUGGGCAAGUGAUAACUGCCCAGCCACCUGUGAAACAGAAAAAAAAAGUAAUAACUGACAUUAGGAGCAUGUAUAGCUAACCUACUACAUAAUGAUCAUUUCUUUAACACAACAAUGCAUAACAAAGUGAAAUUAUCUUCAACAUUCCAUAUCAUUUCACUUACCAGAAGCACCCCACACUUUCUCAAAGACCUUGUUGUAGGUGACUCUAUUAGACAUUUUGUCAGACAGUCUCAUAACCAUGUCUAUCUUGGACCCCUUAUCAUCCACACCACACUGUUUGCACAGUGCCCUGACCUCCUGUACCUGUUGGUGAAAAUGCAAUGAAGUUGAUAUUGUUAAUAUAGCAUAAACAUAUUUUUUGUUAGCAUAAAGAAGUGGAUUUGGCAUAUUUCAUCAACUCAUUCACCUUCAAGUUCACAAGCUCAUCUGUGAGCCGCUCCUCAUUCAUUUUUUCGGCAUCAUUAAAGUUAUCAUCUCCAUC